GUCGCUCUCUGGAGAGAAGCUAAGGGUGAUCAGGAAAUCCUCUUUGAAGAGGAGUCACUUGAACAAAGAUCUCAAUGAAGUGAAAAGGCCAACCAUGAGGAAGUCUAUGGAAGAACGUUCCAGACAAAGGAAACAGGUUCCAGGGGAAUAAUUCAUGAAGCAAAUUA
Hippopotamus amphibius kiboko is the source of this 167-nucleotide long non-coding RNA. RefSeq lists it as uncharacterized. The transcript is spliced from 3 exons. Lineage: Eukaryota; Metazoa; Chordata; Mammalia; Artiodactyla; Hippopotamidae. The record is from RefSeq and is a predicted model, not a curated record.